GAUGAACGCUGGCGGCGUGCCUAAUACAUGCAAGUCGAGCGAACAGACGAGGAGCUUGCUCCUCUAACGUUAGCGGCGGACGGGUGAGUAACACGUGGAUAACCUACCUAUAAGACUGGGAUAACUUCGGGAAACCGGAGCUAAUACCGGAUAAUAUAUUGAACCGCAUGGUUCAAUAGUGAAAGACGGUUUUGCUGUCACUUAUAGAUGGAUCCGCGCCGCAUUAGCUAGUUGGUAAGGUAACAGCUUACCAAGGCAACGAUGCGUAGCCGACCUGAGAGGGUGAUCGGCCACACUGGAACUGAGACACGGUCCAGACUCCUACGGGAGGCAGCAGUAGGGAAUCUUCCGCAAUGGGCGAAAGCCUGACGGAGCAACGCCGCGUGAGUGAUGAAGGUCUUCGGAGCGUAAAACUCUGUUAUUAGGGAAGAACAAAUGUGUAAGUAACUAUGCACGUCUUGACGGUACCUAAUCAGAAAGCCACGGCUAACUACGUG
This 497-nucleotide ribosomal RNA is filed under the name uncultured bacterium. Its description in RNAcentral is "partial 16S ribosomal RNA". It matches the Rfam family "Bacterial small subunit ribosomal RNA", at positions 28 to 507 of the family's 1533-position model. The record is from RNAcentral.